Molecule: long non-coding RNA, 403 nt
Filed under: Elaeis guineensis (African oil palm)
Lineage: Eukaryota; Viridiplantae; Streptophyta; Magnoliopsida; Arecales; Arecaceae
Description: long non-coding RNA (EGUI_LNC016838)
Source: RNAcentral
UCCAUGAGUUUAUGACCAUAGCAAUGUGAUUAAUGAAAAAAAUUUUAUUUGUAAUCACUAUUAGACUUGAGCUGAUCGAAUCUAUCAUAUGAUUGAUGAUGAGGUUUGACGAUUUAUCCAUGACCUAUCUAGUCGGAACUCACGAUAGAGGGACUGUAUUACACAUUAACUACUCAUAGUGAUUUUAUUUCGAUUUUGCUAGGUUGCCACUAUAUAUUGGUAGAUGUCACUGGUGGAUUGUGAGAGGUCAAUAGGAUCGUUCUGGAUCAAUGAUCUUUGUCGAGUUAGAGUAGAACUGUUCCGACCCAUUGAAAGGAGUUUCAGUGAUACUAUGAUAGAGAUCAUGGUAUGUCUCACUAUCAGACAGAAUUGAACUUAUGGGAUCACACAUUAAAGGGAGAAG